This 407-nucleotide ribosomal RNA is filed under the name bacterium enrichment culture clone ALO1_GLFRUDD03FZT8W. RNAcentral's name for it is "bacterial SSU rRNA". It matches the Rfam family "Bacterial small subunit ribosomal RNA", at positions 9 to 416 of the family's 1533-position model. The record is from RNAcentral.
GAGUUUGAUCGUGGCUCAGAUUGAACGCUGGCGGCAUGCCUUACACAUGCAAGUCGAACGGCAGCACGGGAGCUUGCUCCUGGUGGCGAGUGGCGAACGGGUGAGUAAUGCAUCGGAACGUAUCCUGGAGUGGGGGAUAACGUAGCGAAAGUUACGCUAAUACCGCAUAUUCUGUGAGCAGGAAAGCGGGGGACCUUCGGGCCUCGCGCUCUUGGAGCGGCCGAUGUCGGAUUAGCUAGUUGGUGAGGUAAAGGCUCACCAAGGCGACGAUCCGUAGCAGGUCUGAGAGGAUGAUCUGCCACACCGGAACUGAGACACGGUCCAGACUCCUACGGGAGGCAGCAGUGGGGAAUUUUGGACAAUGGGGGCAACCCUGAUUCAGCCAUGCCGCGUGAGUGAAGAAGGCC